AUGAUUGGACAAUAAUACCCUUUCUCCUAAUCUCCAACACAAGCUACGAUUCAAGCUUUUAUUCUGCCAAAAAUCGUUUUCCCCUAUACCUUCUCAAAUCCGUUCGAGCCAAAAAUCGUUUUCAGGCGUAAGGAAACUGUUUAAGGCGGUGGUUGCUUCUUCUUCGCCACCGCUCCAAGAGGAAACCUGAUUUACAUGGACGAGAACAAGCAAAAGUGCAGCCGCUCCUCAACGCACUCCUCUUCUCGUUUAUCUCAUGUAAACAAUCUGGAUGAUGGUUGUUUGAUGCAUAUCUUCAGCUUCUUAUCUCCAAUCCCAGCUAGAAUCUGGAAUUGUUGAAGUCCCUGUAUUAGUUUCAAAAGCAUCACAUUCAACACUUGUGAUUCCAGAGAUACAGUGAACUACAAGCAACAAGGAUGUACAUGGAAUUAUCAAAGGAAAUAUUAUUGUGGAUUCACACACACAACGUCUGAAUGGUUCAUGGGACAUAAUAAUCAACAUAUCUGGAGGAGAAGUCUUCGGUGGCCAAAAGAAACUUAUCCGGUUUCAUGCAAAUUUUGAAAUUGUAGUGGAUAGGACAUGAAGCAUGAAGCGAAUCUUAAUAAAUAGCAUCGUACUUUGAGAAAUUGAUGAUAUAUAGCAUUGAACUUUCAAAAUUUUGUAAUAGUUAAUAACACUAGCUAUAUCUUCUUCUUUUUUUUUUAUCUUUGUAUGUUCUAAUUAUAAUAUAUACAAUUUUGGUCCUUAAA
This is a long non-coding RNA of Lactuca sativa (garden lettuce), 749 nucleotides long. RefSeq lists it as uncharacterized. The record is from RefSeq and is a predicted model, not a curated record. NCBI's taxonomy places the organism in Eukaryota, Viridiplantae, Streptophyta, Magnoliopsida, Asterales, Asteraceae.